CCCACGUCGGAUUUGAGCUGUGCAAUGUCAACGGUCCACCAAAGCACUUUCUAGGACCCUUUCUGUCUUGAAUAAAAAGCCAACACGAACAGCUCUUUCAAAAUGCAAUCCAUUUUUCGCUUUUGGCUUGGCAACUAAGCAAAGCACAACUUCGAAACGAAGCACAAAGGAGAAGAAAAUUACCCGCUUAGAAGAAGAAAUAUCAUGAAGCUCGUUUGGUCUCCAGAGACAGCAUCAAAAGCCUACAUCGAUACCGUUAAAUCUGUAAGCAAUUAAUUAAUUAUCCAAGUGAAAGAAAAGGUUUUCAUUUUCUUUGAUAACCAACCCAGAUAUUAAUUAAUUUGUUUCUGGUUAAUUUCGUCUGCAGUGCGAACUUUCUCAUGAAUCCGGGGUGGCGGAGCUGGUUUCAGCCAUGGCAGCGGGCUGGGAUGCCAGAUUGAUA
This 442-nucleotide long non-coding RNA is filed under the name Citrus sinensis (sweet orange). RNAcentral's name for it is "long non-coding RNA (CSIN_LNC001961)". Lineage: Eukaryota; Viridiplantae; Streptophyta; Magnoliopsida; Sapindales; Rutaceae. The record is from RNAcentral.